Molecule: ribosomal RNA, 497 nt
Filed under: uncultured bacterium
Lineage: Bacteria
Description: partial 16S ribosomal RNA
Rfam family: Bacterial small subunit ribosomal RNA
Source: RNAcentral
GACGAACGCUGGCGGCGUGCCUAAUACAUGCAAGUUGAGCGCUGAAGGUUGGUACUUGUACCCACUGGAUGAGCAGCGAACGGGUGAGUAACGCGUGGGGAAUCUGCCUUUGAGCGGGGGACAACAUUUGGAAACGAAUGCUAAUACCGCAUAAAAACUUUAAACACAAGUUUUAAGUUUGAAAGAUGCAAUUGCAUCACUCAAAGAUGAUCCCGCGUUGUAUUAGCUAGUUGGUGAGGUAAAGGCUCACCAAGGCGAUGAUACAUAGCCGACCUGAGAGGGUGAUCGGCCACAUUGGGACUGAGACACGGCCCAAACUCCUACGGGAGGCAGCAGUAGGGAAUCUUCGGCAAUGGACGAAAGUCUGACCGAGCAACGCCGCGUGAGUGAAGAAGGUUGUCGGAUCGUAAAACUCUGUUGGUAGAGAAGAACGUUGGUGAGAGUGGAAAGCUCAUCAAGUGACGGUAACUACCCAGAAAGGGACGGCUAACUACGUG